This 368-nucleotide ribosomal RNA is filed under the name uncultured Syntrophus sp. Its description in RNAcentral is "bacterial SSU rRNA". It matches the Rfam family "Bacterial small subunit ribosomal RNA", at positions 1016 to 1382 of the family's 1533-position model. Lineage: Bacteria; Pseudomonadati; Thermodesulfobacteriota; Syntrophia; Syntrophales; Syntrophaceae. The record is from RNAcentral.
CCCUUCGGGAGCUCGGAGACAGGUGCUGCAUGGCUGUCGUCAGCUCGUGUCGUGAGAUGUUGGGUUAAGUCCCGCAACGAGCGCAACCCUUGUCUUUAAUUGCCAUCAUUGAGUUGGGCACUUUAAAGAGACUGCCGGUGUUUAAAACCGGAGGAAGGUGGGAUGACGUCAAGUCAGCAUGGCCUUUAUAUCCUGGGCUACACACACGCUACAAUGGGAAGGGACAAUAGGUUGCGAAGCCGCGAGGCGGAGCCAAUCCAGCAAAACUUCCCUCAGUUCAGAUUGCAGGCUGCAACCCGCCUGCAUGAAGUUGGAGUUGCUAGUAAACGCAGGUCAGCCAUACUGCGUUGAAUACGUUCCCGGGGCUU